UUGCACCUUAUCUUAGCGGCGGACGGGUGAGUAAUGCUUAGGAAUCUGCCUAUUAUUGGGGGACAACAUUCCGAAAGGAAUGCUAAUACCGCAUACGCCCUACGGGGGAAAGUAGGGGAUCUUCUGUCCUUGAGCUAUUAGAUGAGCCUAUAUCGAAUUACCUAGUUGGUGUGGUAAAGGCCUACCUGGCGACAAUCUCUAGCGGAUCUGAGAUAAUAAACCUCCACACUGGAACUGAGACACGGCCCCUACUCCUCCGGGAGGAAGCAUGGGGAAUAUUGGACAAUGGGGGUACCCCUGAUCCCACCAUGCCGCCUGUGUGAAGAAAGCCUUUUGCUUGUAAAUUACUUUACAGAAGAAGGAGGCGCUCUAGGAUAAUACCCUAGAUGCGUGGACGUUACUCGCAGAAUAAGCACCGGCUAACUCUGUGCCAGCAGCCGCGGUAAUACAGAGGGUGCGAGCGUUAAUCGGAUUUACCUGGGCGUAAAGCGCGCGUAGGUGGCUAAUUAAGUCAAAUGUGAAAUCCCCGAGCUUAACUUGGGAAUUGCAUUCGAUACUGGUUAGCUAGAGUAUGGGAGAGGAUGGUAGAAUUCCAGGUGUAGCGGUGAAAUGCGUAGAGAUCUGGUGGAAUACCGAUGGCGAAGGCAGCCAUCUGUCCUAAUACUGACACUGAGGUGCGAAAGCAUGGGGAGCAAACAGGAUUAGAUACCCUGGUAGUCCAUGCCGUAAACGAUGUCUACUAGCCGUUGGGGCCUUUGAGCCUUUAGUGGCGCAGCUAACGCGAUAAGUAGACCGCCUGGGGAGUACGGUCGCAAGACUAAAACUCAAAUGAAUUGACGGGGGCCCGCACAAGCGGUGGAGCAUGUGGUUUAAUUCGAUGCAACGCGAAGAACCUUACCUGGCCUUGACAUACAGGGAACUUUCCAGAGAUGGAUUGGUGCCUUCGGGAAUUUUGAUACAGGUGCUGCAUGGCUGUCGUCAGCUCGUGUCGUGAGAUGUUGGGUUAAGUCCCGCAACGAGCGCAACCCUUUUCCUUACUUGCCAGCAUUUCGGAUGGGAACUUUAAGGAUACUGCCAGUGACAAACUGGAGGAAGGCGGGGACGACGUCAAGUCAUCAUGGCCCUUACGGCCAGGGCUACACACGUGCUACAAUGGUCGGUACAAAGGGUUGCUACACAGCGAUGUGAUGCUAAUCUCAAAAAGCCGAUCGUAGUCCGGAUUGGAGUCUGCAACUCGACUCCAUGAAGUCGGAAUCGCUAGUAAUCGCGGAUCAGAAUGCCGCGGUGAAUACGUUCCCGGGCCUUGUACACACCGCCCGUCACACCAUGGGAGUUUGUUGCACCAGAAGUAGGUAG
This 1356-nucleotide ribosomal RNA is filed under the name uncultured Acinetobacter sp. RNAcentral's name for it is "bacterial SSU rRNA". It matches the Rfam family "Bacterial small subunit ribosomal RNA", at positions 80 to 1433 of the family's 1533-position model. The record is from RNAcentral. Lineage: Bacteria; Pseudomonadati; Pseudomonadota; Gammaproteobacteria; Moraxellales; Moraxellaceae.